RNAcentral lists this long non-coding RNA (946 nucleotides) under Physcomitrium patens. RNAcentral's name for it is "long non-coding RNA (PPAT_LNC003163)". The record is from RNAcentral. Lineage: Eukaryota; Viridiplantae; Streptophyta; Bryopsida; Funariales; Funariaceae.
UUUAUUCAUUAGAUAUUGAGGUUUAAAUCUGUCAUAGGAAUUACUAGGAUUUGGAUUAGGGUUUGACUAGGGUUCGGUUUAGGGUUUGGAUUAGGGUUUGAUUUAGGGUUUGGAUUAGAGUUUGGACUAGGUUUUGGUUAGGAUUUGAUUUAGGAUUUGGAUUAGGAUUUGGAUUAGGAUUUAGGAUUUGAUUAGGGUUUGAUUUAGGGUUUGGAUUAGAAUUUGGUUAAGGUUUGAUUUAAGAUUUGGUUUAGGAUUUAGGAUUUGGAUUAGAGUUUAGAGUUGGAUUAGGAUUUGGAUUAGGGUUUAAGGUUUGGUUAGGAUUUUAUUUAGGAUUUGGAUUAGAGUUUGGAGUUGGAUUAGGGUUUGGAUUAGGGUUUAGAUUAGGAUUUAGGAUUUGGUUAGGGUUUGAUUUAGGGUUUGGAUUAGGAUUUGGUUAGGAUUUGAUUUAGGAUUUGGAUUAGGAUUUGGUUAGGAUUUGAUUUAAGGUUUGGUUUAGGGUUUAGGGUUGGAUUAGGGUUUGGUUUAGGAUUUGAUUUAGGGUUUGGUUUAGGAUUUAGGGUUUGGAAUAGGGUUUAAUUCAAGAUUUGUUUAGGAUUUGACUUAGGGUUUAGGAAUUAUUAGGAUUUAAGAUUUAAUUAGGUUUGGUCUAAAGUUGAGUGAAAUUCAAUAGGGUUUUAACUAGAAUUAAAUUAAGGUUGAAUUGACAUAUAUUUGAAUAAAAUUUGUGAUCAUUCUAAUAUUUCUUUAAAAAUUUUAUUGUUUGUUUGAAAUUUCUUUGAGUUGUUUUGAAUUUGAUUACAUUUGUUUACCAUUAUUAUAGUCUAAUUAGAGCAUUGUUAGUAUUCUAUUAGAAUUAGGAUUUUGUUAUCGCAAUUUCUAUUCUUCCUUCUACAGCCAGGUGCCCGGAGCAUUCUCAAGCAAGACUUCACACAUUACGACAACG